CACACCAACGUACCUACAUUCACUGCUGCAGUAACGGAGGUCGACUCGCUGUCACUGUCAGGUGCCGAGCAGACCGACUCCAGGAUCAUAUCAAGCGACAUCCUCUCUGUGCAGCUCGCUAAAGGAUUUACAUCACCACGCUCUGUGUAUGAAUUGUGACUGAUAAAGGGCCCAAGGUUUGUGUGGAAUUUCGCAACAAAGGAUUCCUGUGUGCCCUGGAAUAUAUCAACUUAAAAUGAGACACUUUUGAGCACUGAGCUGUAAGAUUGGGGCCAUACUGCACGUGGAUGCCUCCGACCCUCGCUGGAUGAUUCCAUCUCUGUGAUGAAAGGCUUAUCCAGUAGCCGCAGCCACCAUCACAUGGUGACCUGCGACCCCUCCUUGGACUCCAUGGGUCACCACUUGGACCACAAGCCCUACCUCAUCAGUCAGAUCGACAACCCCCACCCGACCGACCACUCAUACUACAGCCAGAGAAGCCCCUACCAGCCUGACUGCGUGGUGCCUUAUGGGACCUUCCCCCGCCGACACUACAGCUCUCCACACGAGCUGAAGGACGAGACUGCCUUGGUUCCCUACACUGGGGGAUGUGUUCCAGCCAACAAGGGCCAGCGUGUCCCCGUUCCCCUGUUGGAUCAGUUCGACCGCCAACUCCCAGUGCCUCGGGACGGCUAUCACACGCUACAGUACAAGCGUGCCGCCGCAGCCUUGGAGCAACGGAGCGACAGCCCCGGACGAAUCCGGCACCUGGUGCACUCCGUUCAGAAGCUCUUCACCAAGUCCCACUCGCUAGAGGGCCCACACCACGCUCAUGGCCACGGCAAGAGCAGCAUCAACGGAGGCAAGGCCAGCCCCGACGGAGAGCCCCCCGCCAUUCGACACCGCAAGCGCAGCAAGAGCAGGGAGCGCUGCAAGUCGGCCGAGCCCAAGAACCGGACGCCACCGUCUGGCUACUGGAGCUCUGACGACUUGGAACGCGAGGCCUGCCUGUUCCACCACGGACCUCCGGGCGUCAUGACCAUGGGCCGCCACCCUGACAAGUCGCAGUCGCAGUACUUCCUGGAGUCCUACAACACCAUCAAUGACCAGGCGCUUAAAAACUCGCGCAGCAACAACGACAUAGGGAAAUGUUCGUCGCGCGUGCCGCUGAGCGUGGACGCAACACAGCUCAUGAAGAAGAGCUCGUGGUCGUCCUCUCUCACGGUGAGCAGAGCACAUCAAGUCUACCAGAAGGCCUCUGUAAAUGUAGAUAAGGCUCUAGUGAAAGCAGAGGCUUGUCAGCAGGAGCGCUCAUGCCAAUUCUUGCAGGUCCCUCAAGAUGAGUGGGGGGGCUUUCCAUUGGGGAAGGACGAGGAUAUCCCAUUCAGACGCAUGCGCAGCGGCAGCUACGUGAAAGCCAUGGCGGAGGAUGACAGCGGAGACUCGGACGGCAGCCCUAAACCCUCACCCAAGAUGCAGGCGCGACGAGCCAGCUACCUCAAAGCCACACAGCCAUCAUUGACGGAGAUGACCACUCUAAAGAUCUCCCAAGAGCAUUCUCCAAAGCUUUCGAUCCGGAGUCACAGCUACUUGCGGGCGGUGAGUGAAGUCUCCAUCAAUAGGAGCGUGGACACCCUGGACCCCAAAGCUCUGCUAGCCUCUGCCCAAUACCGCUCGCGCAAUGAGAGCUACAUGAGGGCUAUGAGCACCAUCAGCCAGGUGAGUGAGGUGGAGGUUAACGGGCAGAUCGAGGCCAUGUGCGAGAGCAUGUUCAGCGAAAUGGAGUCCCAGGCAGUGGAUGCCCUGGACCUGCCCAUGCCCGGGUGCUUCCGCAUGAGGAGUCACAGUUACGUGCGUGCUAUUGACCAGGGCUGCUCGCAGGAUGAGGAAGAACCUUUGCUACCAGUCUCCCCACCACGGACCACCACUACUGUCAGAACAAUACAGAGCAGCACAGUGUCAUCAUGUAUCACAACCUACAAAAAGACUCCACCGCCAGUUCCUCCUCGCACCUCCACCAAGCCCUUCAUCUCCAUCACGGCCCAGAGCAGCACAGAGUCAGCGCAGGAUGCUUACAUGGAAGGUCCUGGGACGUGUGGCGAGCCAGUCCUCCACUCCGGUCUGAGCAAUUCCACCGAGAGUAUUGACAGCAUGAAAGCCCUGACGGCAGCCAUCGAGGCGGCCAAUGCUCAGAUCCACGGCCCUGCCAGUCAGCACGUCAAUAACAGCUCGGUCACCAUCAGCACUAGCCCCUACUCUCCGCUGCCCAUGCCUCUGCCCGUACCCAUUCCUAUACCAGCUCUUGAAGACAUUCGAAGGGAUGUGCUCAGGAAGAGCAGGUGCCUUUCUAUUGGCAUCCAGGUGGAUGGGCCUGAGGAUCAGGAAAUAGAGGACCCGUCCAAGUUCCAGUCAGUUGGGAUUCAGGUUGAAGUGGAGCAUGGUCACCGUCGGUUCACACGUUCUAACAGCGUGACGGCAGCAGUACAGGCCAAUCUGGACACUCCAGACUACACACCAGCUGACUCUCCUGUCACAGAUUUCCCCGCCUCGGGCUGCAUGUCACGGCAAUACUCGCGUGAUGCCGCCACCUCCACCGUCAGCAUCCAGGGCUCAGGGAACCACUACCACGCCUGCACAUCAGAUGACUACGAGGACGUUGGAUUCGACCCCUCCAUCUUGCCCCCGCCCGAUCCGUGGAUUGACAGCGUAACGGAAGACCCCCUGGAGGUUGUGGGCCGCUCGGUGUGUCAGCGUGACGGCCGCUGGUUCCUCAAGCUUCUGCAGGCGGAAACAGAGCGUAUGGAGGGCUGGUGCAGGCAGAUGGAACAUGACGAGAGGGAAAACAAGCUUCCUGAUGAUAUCCUCGGGAAGAUCCGCAGUGCAGUGGGAAGUGCACAGCUGCUUAUGUCUCAGAAAUUCCAGCAGUUCCGAGAGCUGUGUGAGGAAAAUUUGAACCCAAACGCUCACCCACGGCCGGUGGCUCAGGAUCUGGCAGGGUUCUGGGAUAUGCUCCAGCUCUCCAUUGAGAAUAUCAGCCUGAAGUUUGAUGAGCUGCACCAGCUCAAAGCCAACAACUGGAGAGCCCUCGACCCCCCUGAAAGAAAGGAGAGAAGGCUGCCUCCCCCAGUGCCAAAGAAACCCCCGAAAGGCCACCCUCCUCUGGCCAGGGACCGAUCACUGGAGAGCACAGAGAAGCAGCGUCAGGAGGCUCGCAAACGCUUGAUGGCAGCCAAGCGGGCCGCUUCCGUGCGGCAGAACUCGGCCACAGAGAGCGCAGACAGCAUCGAGAUCUAUAUACCCGAGGCCCAGACCAGACUAUGAAACUGCCAGACACAUAAACACACAUUCACACACAAAUUACACCGUAAGCACAACACAUCACACUGAUAUAUACAGUAUUUGCCUACUGCAUCGAUCACUGGUAGGGUCAACACACACCAACGCCAUGAUAGCACAGAAUUAUAAAUUCAAUCUUUCAUUAUUUAAAAAAAUGAUAACCCUACAUCAUAUUUUAAUGACCCUAAGCCAUCAUUGCAGUAGAUCAUUGACACACACAUAUAUGCUAUUUGGAGCUCAGUCACUUUAUAUACAGUAUACUGCUUUUUUCUCAUGCUUGUGUAGUUUACAAACUGUUUCUAAACACAAAUAUAUCUAUCUAUCUAUCCAUCUAUAUAUAUAUAUAUAUAUAUAUAUAUAUAUAUGAAAUCUACACACACGGGCACUGUUAUACAUGCACAUAUGUGUGUACUGACCUCUCUGAGAGCCAUUCGCUCACCAUGUCGAUACACAUGGGCAUAUACACGAAUAUAUACUUUAUCAUUAAACAGUUCGACACACACUUACAACAAACAAACAUGCGUAUUCACUCUGAAUGACGUGGACUGGGUGUUUGUAAUAUAAUGUGUUUUCCCUUAAAGGAGCGUUAUAGCAGGUUUAAUGUCUCGCUUCGCCAGUCUUUCCCAUUUGUCUCUCUCUCAUUCUGUCUUAAGCCUACGAUCUGAAGUGACCAUAGUGAAUUAUGUUCCUAGACAUGUGAAGUAGGUAUCACUUCAGUAGAAAACCCUCUGUCGGUCCUUCUCAGUAGUGCCAUCUAGCAAACACUGUAUCCAGUUUGCUGUAGUAUUUUAAGUAUUUUUUCUUCAGCAGAGCAAAAUUACUUUUUUAUUUCUGUUUCCAUUCCUGCCCCCUCUUUUCCCUCUUCUUUUUCUUAACGUUAACUCAAUUUGGAAAAUAUUACCACGUAACAGGGUAUUUUGAGCUACAAGCAAUACGCGUUUAAAAAUGAUGUUAAACUGCAUUUCUUUCAAUGUAGUGAUUCUAACUGAUUCAUUGAUGAUGAAAAGAUGCCUUCGCUAUCCUGUAGCCUGUUCAUUUUGGUUUAAAUCUCUUUAUGUGGAACAUUUAGGCAUUCUUUAGCAUAUAAUAUACAAAUAAACCUACUUAUCAAUUUUUGUAAUAUAGAUUUGGGGCCUUUUGUGGAUUUUUAUGUAGACGAGUAGUGGAACACUAAUGAGAUGAUUGCAAAAAAUAAAUCUAGACUAAAAGGGGAAUUCUAAUAAAAUGCAAGAUUUUCAUCAUUGUUCACACGAUUAUGUCUUUCCAGUAGCAAUUUCAGUGACUUAUAUUUUAAUGUGUUUUAAUACUGUGUUGGGGCACAAGGGGAGUCAUUUUUUGUAAGCUUUGUGCUCAAAGGGGUUGUGACUCUGAGAGGACCAUGUGACUCUGCCUGAUCCAUCAUGUCAGGUGAGCUAAACUAGCGUUAAACUCUCAGGAAAAGACAGAGAAAUAGUGAGUGCCGCAAAAUCAGGGUCUCCCAGUGGUAAUGUUUUAUGUGUGUAUUUGUGAGCGUGUGAAGCACACACAUGUGUGUUUUGAAGAAUGUAUGUGUCUCUGUGGUGAAUAGGUAUGCGUGGCUUGUGUGUGUGAGCCUGUGUGCAUACUGUAUGUGGGUGUGUUUAUAAAAGUGCUUCCUAAUUUCCUUGGUUAACACAAUCUUUGAAUUUGUUUUUUUUUUUUUGGAUAAAGUUUAGUAGCCUCAUGAACUUGUGUACAGUAUCAAAGCCCCUUGUUCUUACUUUGGUCUAUAUUGUUUGUACAAGAAAACAAUGAUGAGGAAGUUCCUGUAAGCAUGCAGACACAAUAUGAGUCCUAUAGAUAUAUUGGAUUUAUACUAUUAUUUAUUUUAUUUCUGUACUUAUUUAUUUGUCUUACUAUUUAAGAUUUAUUUUUUACGGUUUCGAUUCUGUUUAGUGAUCUGUCAUGCCACCCUCAUAUUGUGAAUAUGUUGUACUGUAUGUAUAAACAUUAUAUGUGCAUACAUACGAUGAACAAGGAAUAAAUUCUUGAAACUUUUUUUGUCUUUAAAUUACAGAAUUUAUGAGGAUUCAACACCUUAACCGUUUUCAAGCAAAAUAGAUUAAGUGAUGCACAUUUGCCAACAGUAUAAAAUCAUGAGGAAUCUCUCCACACCCCACGACUACUCUUCUAAUUUGUCUGGCAAGCUGGAGGACGGGCGCUCAGUGCGCGCUGGCUGCUCCUGUUGCUCUGGCGCAUGUGGCUGGAUUCCCAGGGAUCCCCAGUGUUCAGCAGCUUGCGCUUCUAACAAUCUAUGACCCUUCAAAGAGGCCAUGAAAACGCACGGCUCCUGUCGUCAAUGGUUGUCUACCAGUCAUCCUUUUUGAAUACCAGGUCAAUAAAUGUAAGUGUAUCAACAAUGAAAGCCACUUGACAGGCGCAUCGACAAAGUGUGGUGCCUUUUAUCGUUUUGUGUUAUCCACACACACGAGGGCCAAUAGUAAACAUUGUGUGGCUAUUGUUUCAAAAAGUAUUGACUUUGUUGUUGAAGUCCGGAAAAUAGCUUUUUUAAUGACCCACAGAGUGGUUUUGCAAACAGGAAGGCAAGUCAAAAAUCAUGUCCUCCAAAAUAUUUGCCACUCAACAGGCUUGGAACACCUUGUAACUCUCAAACCCAUAUUACGUUGUCAAGUAGCCCAAUUACUGUCAUUGAUUAAUUCAUUUAAUCUGCCCUUUAUCUAAUCCUUUCUCUAAUCCUGUUUGACCGAGAUUACGGAUUACCAUUAUUUGUCCACUAAGAGA
This is an RNA transcript of Triplophysa rosa, 6075 nucleotides long. It is a transcript of the gene named discs, large (Drosophila) homolog-associated protein 1a, with no coding region annotated. The transcript is spliced from 13 exons. NCBI's taxonomy places the organism in Eukaryota, Metazoa, Chordata, Actinopteri, Cypriniformes, Nemacheilidae. The record is from RefSeq and is a predicted model, not a curated record.